RNAcentral lists this ribosomal RNA (486 nucleotides) under uncultured bacterium. Its description in RNAcentral is "partial 16S ribosomal RNA". It matches the Rfam family "Bacterial small subunit ribosomal RNA", at positions 30 to 507 of the family's 1533-position model. The record is from RNAcentral.
AUUGAACGCUGGCGGCAUGCCUUACACAUGCAAGUCGAACGGCAGCACGGGUGCUUGCACCUGGUGGCGAGUGGCGAACGGGUGAGUAAUACAUCGGAACAUGUCCUGUAGUGGGGGAUAGCCCGGCGAAAGCCGGAUUAAUACCGCAUACGAUCUACGGAUGAAAGCGGGGGACCUUCGUGCCUCGCGCUAUAGGGUUGGCCGAUGGCUGAUUAGCUAGUUGGUGGGGUAAAGGCCUACCAAGGCGACGAUCAGUAGCUGGUCUGAGAGGACGACCAGCCACACUGGGACUGAGACACGGCCCAGACUCCUACGGGAGGAAGCAGUGGGGAAUUUUGGACAAUGGGCGAAAGCCUGAUCCAGCAAUGCCGCGUGUGUGAAGAAGGCCUUCGGGUUGUAAAGCACUUUUGUCCGGAAAGAAAUACUUGGCCCUAAUACGGUCGGGGGAUGACGGUACCGGAAGAAUAAGCACCGGCUAACUACGUG